CAGGGAUUGCCCUAGUAACGGCGAGUGAAGCGGCAACAGCUCAAAUUUGAAAUCUGGCCCUUGGGUCCGAAUUGUAAUUUGUAGAGGAUGUUUUUGGUGCGGUAUCUUCCGAGUUCCUUGGAACAGGACGCCUUAGAGGGUGAGAGCCCCGUACGGUUGAAUGCCUAGCCUUUGUAAAACUCCUUCGACGAGUCGAGUAGUUUGGGAAUGCUGCUCUAAAUGGGAGGUAAAUUUCUUCUAAAGCUAAAUACCGGCCAGAGACCGAUAGCGCACAAGUAGAGUGAUCGAAAGAUGAAAAGCACUUUGAAAAGAGGGUUAAAUAGCACGUGAAAUUGUUGAAAGGGAAGGAUUUAUGACCAGACUUUUUCUAGGCGAAUCAUCCGGUGUUCUCACCGGUGCACUUCGUUUAGUUUAGGCCAGCAUCGAUUUUCGGAGCGGGAUAAAAGCUUUAGGAAUGUGGCUCCCUCGGGAGUGUUAUAACCUACUGUAUAAUACCGUUCUGGGGAUCGAGGUACGCGCUUCUGCAAGGAUGCUGGCGUAAUGGUUAUCAAUCACCCGUCUUGAAACACGGACCAAGGAGUCGAACAUUUGUGCAAGUGUUUGGGUGUUAAACCCUCACGCGUAAUGAAAGUGAACGGAGGUGAGAGCCCUUUACGGGGUGCAUCAUCGACCGAUCCUGAUGUCUUCGGAUGGAUUUGAGUAAGAGCAUAAAUGUUCGGACCCGAAAGAUGGUGAACUAUGCGUGGAUAGGGUGAAGCCAGAGGAAACUCUGGUGGAGGCUCGCAGCGGUUCUGACGUGCAAAUCGAUCGUCAAAU
This 816-nucleotide ribosomal RNA is filed under the name Heterotruncatella breviappendiculata. RNAcentral describes it as "partial 28S ribosomal RNA". It matches the Rfam family "Eukaryotic large subunit ribosomal RNA", at positions 69 to 910 of the family's 3401-position model. The record is from RNAcentral. Lineage: Eukaryota; Fungi; Ascomycota; Sordariomycetes; Amphisphaeriales; Sporocadaceae.